UACAGAGGGUGCGAGCGUUGUCCGGAAUUACUGGGCGUAAAGGGCGCGUAGGCGGCCCGAUAAGUCGGGGGUGAAAUUCAGCGGCUCAACCGCUGGACUGCCUUCGAGACUGUCAGGCUCGAGCACGGUAGAGGCUGGUGGAAUUCCCGGUGUAGCGGUGGAAUGCGUAGAGAUCGGGAAGAACAUCGGUGGCGAAGGCGGCCAGCUGGGCCGUUGCUGACGCUGAGGCGCGACAGCGUGGGGAGCAAACAGGAUUAGAAACCCCGGUAGUCC
This 273-nucleotide ribosomal RNA is filed under the name uncultured bacterium. Its description in RNAcentral is "partial 16S ribosomal RNA". It matches the Rfam family "Bacterial small subunit ribosomal RNA", at positions 524 to 796 of the family's 1533-position model. The record is from RNAcentral.